CGGGGCGUAGCGCAGCCUGGUAGCGCGCCAGUUUUGGGUACUGGAAGUCGCUGGUUCGAAUCCAGUCGCCCCGACCA
This 77-nucleotide transfer RNA is filed under the name Rhodospirillaceae bacterium. RNAcentral describes it as "tRNA-Pro". It matches the Rfam family "tRNA". From Rfam's summary of the family: Transfer RNA (tRNA) molecules are approximately 80 nucleotides in length. Their secondary structure includes four short double-helical elements and three loops (D, anti-codon, and T loops). The record is from RNAcentral. Lineage: Bacteria; Pseudomonadati; Pseudomonadota; Alphaproteobacteria; Rhodospirillales; Rhodospirillaceae.